Molecule: long non-coding RNA, 2238 nt
Organism: Dermochelys coriacea (leatherback sea turtle)
Lineage: Eukaryota; Metazoa; Chordata; Testudines; Dermochelyidae
Exons: 2
Source: RefSeq, a predicted model, not a curated record
AGGUGCUUCACAUGUAUUUACUGUACUAACAACACUUUGAAAAGAAGCCUAUGGUUUUUAUACGAUUCAUCGGCAAAACUUUAUAGAGGCCUUGUUCGACUUUUCCAGACAAUACAGUACAUACAGGGCGUGAGUCUAGCGCUCCCGUAAUCAGAGCCCCAAAGCUUUUUAACCAUUUGGCGGAACAUUUGAUAAAAUAGCUCCAACUCAGAUCGAAAUAAAAAACAGUUCCACAUUCUCAUGGCUUCUUUAAUGCUUCCAGCACCUCCACAAGUUACUAACGUUCUUUGCCUCUUAGGGGAAGGAAGUGCAAACAUGGCAAUUAUGAAUUGUAACCCCCCCCCCGAAAAAGGAUGUAAAUCCAUCUAGUGCUGUACAGUGUAAGUGAUAACUGCAUGCAUUUCGCAUGGGUAAGGAAAAGCAUGCACAGGUCCAGCCAUCACACUAAGAAGAAUGGAAAUUUACUAAAAAGACCACAGCGCCAUUACCACGGCGCUCAUACAUUAUGUAUAGCUGUGGUUAUCUCGGGUUUGUCACACCAAGAAAAAACAAGGCACAGCACUAGUGUACCGAUCUGCCACCCCCGGCUCUGAUCUACGAAUUUAGGAAAGAGGUAUAAAAAUCCAGUUGGAACUACCUUUUAAAUUCCCUAUUUAAGAUACAUAGAAAACUAAGAUAGAAACUUAGCCCGCUAUACAUACACAACAAAUAUUUGUGGAUCAAAAUGAACAUUUUGCAUUUCCUUCUGUAAUGUGUCGACUAAGGAAUUUGAGAACAUUAAGAGUGUCUGAAAAUCCCCCACAAAAAAGCCCAGGUCAUUAUAAAGACGAUAUCUAGCAACCAUAAGCCUUUGAAAUGACCUUUGGCUUGUAAAGCAAUAACUCACCACUUAAUGAACAACCAACGGAAGCGCCUCCAAUAGUUCACAACAUAACAGAGCUUGCAACUUUCCACCAAAUCUUCUCUGUCCCUGUCCAAACCCAGUCUGAUGCAGCAUUCCCCCUCCAAUUCACCUUAAUUUAUGCUGGCAAACUGGAGUUUGGGAAGUGGAGCUUCAUGAUUACACACGAUGUUCUACCAGGUUCCUGGUCCAAGGCCUGUCCCGGUAACGUCUUAUAUAAUAUAUUCCCGUGGGCGUACGUCAACUUUAAGUGCUUUAUUUUUUUUUUAUAACGGAGUUCAUUAGAAAUAGAAUAGUACGUUACAGUGUGUAAGAAGAAAGCAUAAAUUCGGUACCCCUUAGCUCUUGACCGGAGAGAUCAUAAUAUUGUUAUCAAGUCAUUGUUAUCCGCUGUUGAUUAAUAUGGAGGAAAUAUUUAGGUAAACUCGGAUUUUCCAGAUUGGAAGACUAAAGAAGCCUUAGAAAAAUCGCCUUACUUUUCUGUUUGUGCACUGAGUCUGAUCUCUCUCUCUCUCUCUCUCUCUCUCUCUCUCUCUCUCUCUCUCUGUAUGUGUAUAUACAUAUAUACACAGAGAGAUAGAAAAAGCACUAUAUGUAUAUAUGAAUACCUGUACAUGUACACACAGAGUUAGAACACUCUUUCUAUAUGUAAUGAGUACAUACAAAUGUCCUGAACAGCUCAAAGUCUGUAAAAAUGUAUUUUAGUUCUUUUGUUUGAUUUUCUAAGGUGUCUGUAGCUAUAAAUACACCACAUCUAAUCUAGGAUCUACUAAGAUUUCAUUACCAUCCAAAGCAUGGAGAUCUGACAGUAACGUAUUACCUUACAAUACUACCCUUAAGUGUAUUGUAACAUUUAUCUAAAUUACUUUGCUUUUCCUGACUUUGCAAACAAGUUAUAAAAAGAUUGCAGUCCAGUUACUGAAGCACGCGUUCAGGGUAAAUUAUUGUUUAGGAUUCCGGAUUUAUAAUCUUGUAUUUCUUGGAAAUGAUGUACUUGAAUCUUGCAUCACGUAAAAGUCAAUUGUUCUUUGCAUCAUUUUUGUCAGCCAUAUAUUUCACUAUCAGUGUACCUAUCUAUAGAUCUAUCUGUAUAUAUAUAUAUAUAUAUAUAUAUAUAUAUAUAUAGGAUAGGUUCACACAUUUUCUAAUAACGAAAAUCUCGUUUGCUCGUUACACAAAAGUGAAAGUGCAAAGUGUACCAUUAAUCAAGUAAAGAUCAAGAGGAGGGAUUGAGAAGAAAAAUCUCCCUUUUUAUGAUUAAUUUGUAAAUAUCUCUUAGCAAAAGUCACACGCCACCGGCGGGUUCAUUUAAAUUAUACGGCAUAAACAUAACAACA